GCAGCCGCGGUAAUACGUAGGUGGCAAGCGUUAUCCGGAUUUAUUGGGCGUAAAGGGUGCGCAGGCGGUCUAUUAAGUUUAGGGUGAAAGCGUUGAGCUCAACUCAAUACAGCCUUAAAAACUGAUAGACUAGAGUGCAGAAGAGGGUAGUGGAAUUCCAUGUGUAGCGGUAAAAUGCGUAGAUAUAUGGAGGAACACCAGUGGCGAAGGCGGCUACCUGGUCUGUAACUGACGCUCAGGCACGAAAGCGUGGGGAGCAAAUAGGAUUAGAUACCCC
RNAcentral lists this ribosomal RNA (277 nucleotides) under uncultured Rikenellaceae bacterium. Its description in RNAcentral is "partial 16S ribosomal RNA". It matches the Rfam family "Bacterial small subunit ribosomal RNA", at positions 511 to 788 of the family's 1533-position model. Lineage: Bacteria; Pseudomonadati; Bacteroidota; Bacteroidia; Bacteroidales; Rikenellaceae. The record is from RNAcentral.